GGAGUGAAAAGGCACCGGCUUGCAUGGAGAGGUGAUUGAUGGCAUGGAGUGACUGGGAGAGACACAGGAACUCCAAGUGAAGGGGAUAGGAUCAGGGGGGCUGAAGAGCUACUCGUCGGAAAGAUGGAAGAACAUCUGCAUGAGGUUCGGGCACACUGAGCUAGAAAGUCACUUCAUCACAAGGAAGGACCAUCCAUCUGCAUAGGCCACGGAGAGGACCACACCAGGCCAAUCCAGCCUGUCCAGACCGACAACGACUGUGGACAAUCCCCUGAUGCUGGUGGACGGACGAGCGCGAACAGGCCUUUCCAGCCCAAGUUUCACCAUCCGGCAAACCGCCUAUUUUAACCCUAGCCUAAUCACAGGACGAUGUACAAUGAACAAUUAACUUACUAACCGGUA
Long non-coding RNA from Mobula hypostoma (lesser devil ray), 402 nucleotides. RefSeq lists it as uncharacterized. The transcript is spliced from 3 exons. Lineage: Eukaryota; Metazoa; Chordata; Chondrichthyes; Myliobatiformes; Myliobatidae. The record is from RefSeq and is a predicted model, not a curated record.